This 497-nucleotide ribosomal RNA is filed under the name uncultured bacterium. RNAcentral's name for it is "partial 16S ribosomal RNA". It matches the Rfam family "Bacterial small subunit ribosomal RNA", at positions 28 to 507 of the family's 1533-position model. The record is from RNAcentral.
GAUGAACGCUGGCGGCGUGCCUAAUACAUGCAAGUCGAGCGAACAGACGAGGAGCUUGCUCCUCUGACGUUAGCGGCGGACGGGUGAGUAACACGUGGAUAACCUACCUAUAAGACUGGGAUAACUUCGGGAAACCGGAGCUAAUACCGGAUAACAUGUUGAACCGCAUGGUUCAACAGUGAAAGACGGUCUUGCUGUCACUUAUAGAUGGAUCCGCGCCGCAUUAGCUAGUUGGUAAGGUAACGGCUUACCAAGGCAACGAUGCGUAGCCGACCUGAGAGGGUGAUCGGCCACACUGGAACUGAGACACGGUCCAGACUCCUACGGGAGGCAGCAGUAGGGAAUCUUCCGCAAUGGGCGAAAGCCUGACGGAGCAACGCCGCGUGAGUGAAGAAGGUCUUCGGAUCGUAAAACUAUGUUAUUAGGGAAGAACAAAUGUGUAAGUAACUAUGCACGUCUUGACGGUACCUAAUCAGAAAGCCACGGCUAACUACGUG